CGAACCGGAUUAGAUACCCGGGUAGUCCUAGGUGUAAACGCUGUGGACUUGGUGUUGGGGAUUCUCCGAGGAUUCUCAGUGCCGAAGCGAAGGUGAUAAGUCCACUGCCUGGGGAGUACGGUCGCAAGGCUGAAACUUAAAGGAAUUGGCGGGGGAGCACCGCAACCUGAGGAUUGUGCGGUUUAAUUGGAUUCGACGCCGGAAAACUCACCAGUGCCGACGGACAGAUGAAAGCCAGUGUGAUGAGCUUGCUGGAUUGUUCGAGAGGUAGUGCAUGGCCGCCGUCAGUUCGUACCGUAAGGCGUUCUGUUAAGUCAGAUAACGAACGAGACCCUCAUCCCUAUUUGCUAAGGUUUCUCCCUUCGGGGCGAGAUCACGGGACUAUAGGGAGACCGCUGGCGAGAAGUCAGAGGAAGGUGAGGGCAACGGUAGGUCAGUAUGCUCCGAAUGCACUGGGCUACACGCGCAAUACAAAGGACGGGACAAUGGGCCGCUGCUCCGAGAGGAAAGAUGGCUAUCCCGAAACCCGUUCGUAGUUCGGAUUGAGGGCUGUAACUCGCCCUCAUGAAGCUGGAUUAGGUAGUAAUCGCGUCUCAAAAAGGCGCGGUGAAUAUGCCCCUGCUCCUUGCACACACCGCCCGUCAAACCAUCUUAGUUGGGGGUGGGUGAGGCUGCCUUUUAGUGGGUAUUCGAGCAU
Molecule: ribosomal RNA, 697 nt
Filed under: uncultured marine euryarchaeote dh148-A18
Lineage: Archaea; Methanobacteriati; Methanobacteriota
Description: bacterial SSU rRNA
Rfam family: Archaeal small subunit ribosomal RNA
Source: RNAcentral